RNAcentral lists this unclassified non-coding RNA (271 nucleotides) under Hevea brasiliensis (rubber tree). The record is from RNAcentral. Lineage: Eukaryota; Viridiplantae; Streptophyta; Magnoliopsida; Malpighiales; Euphorbiaceae.
UCUCUCUCUCUCUCUCUCUCUCGCUGUGUGACCUUUUUAUCCUCUUCUCCUCCAUCGCUAAUCAAAUCAAUCAAACGGUAACAAUGGCGAAUCAUCGAACCUCGCGGAGUGGAUUGAUACGGAGUUUCAGUCUGUCGUUUAGACUAUUGGCCUCCGCGGUUACGGUUGCGGUGUUUCUCUUCUUCGCUGUCUCUUUUCUGUUCACUUCACACUCUCACUCUUCCUCUGACCUCCACCACUUUGGCUUCAGCAACAUACCUUAUAGAUUUGG